This 498-nucleotide ribosomal RNA is filed under the name uncultured bacterium. RNAcentral's name for it is "partial 16S ribosomal RNA". It matches the Rfam family "Bacterial small subunit ribosomal RNA", at positions 28 to 507 of the family's 1533-position model. The record is from RNAcentral.
GACGAACGCUGGCGGCGUGCCUAAUACAUGCAAGUCGAACGAGAGCAACCGGUGCUUGCACUGGUCAAUCUAGUGGCGAACGGGUGAGUAACACGUGGGUAACCUGCCCAUCAGAGGGGGAUAACAUCCGGAAACGGAUGCUAAAACCGCAUAGGUCUUCGAACCGCAUGGUUUGAAGAGGAAAAGAGGCGCAAGCUUCUGCUGAUGGAUGGACCCGCGGUGCAUUAGCUAGUUGGUGAGGUAACGGCUCACCAAGGCCGUGAUGCAUAGCCGACCUGAGGGGGUGAUCGGCCACAUUGGGACUGAGACACGGCCCAAACUCCUACGGGAGGCAGCAGUAGGGAAUCUUCCGCAAUGGACGCAAGUCUGACGGAGCAACGCCGCGUGAGUGAAGAAGGUGUUCGGAUCGUAAAACUCUGUUGUUAGAGAAGAACAAGUGCUAGAGUAACUGUUAGCGCCUUGACGGUAGCUAACCAGAAAGCCACGGCUAACUACGUG